This 981-nucleotide ribosomal RNA is filed under the name Catillaria erysiboides. Its description in RNAcentral is "SSU rRNA". It matches the Rfam family "Bacterial small subunit ribosomal RNA", at positions 167 to 1176 of the family's 1533-position model. Lineage: Eukaryota; Fungi; Ascomycota; Lecanoromycetes; Lecanorales; Catillariaceae. The record is from RNAcentral.
UCCCUUAUAAUUCCUCUACCCAGAAGAAAAAAGAAAUAUAUAUAUUUUGCUCCUAGAUGUGUGUAUCUCGUGUAUGGUAGUAGUAGAGGUAAAAGCUCUACUAGCUUUAUGCACGUAGUCGAAACUGAGAGGUUGAUCGACCACAAUGGGUCUGAACAAAGCCCAUGAUGCGAAUCACAGCAGUGAGGAAUAUUGGUCAAUUGCCUAACGGCUGAACCAGCAACUUGGAGGAAUGUAUAGCAAUAGCUAUUUAUCUCAACAAACUGUUGAGAUAGGAUCGACUCUGUUGAAUAAAAUUCUGGGUAUGAUGAUGAUGAUGACAUCGUUUACCUAUAAGUCUUGACAAAGUUACGUGCCAGCAGUCGCGGUAAUACGUAAGAGGCUAGCGUUAUUCAUCUUUAAUAGGUUUAAAGGGUACUUAGACGGUGAGUAAAGCCUUUAGAGGAACUAAUUCGCUAGAGUUACUUGUGAGGGGGUUUUAAAGUACUAGUGGAGUAGAGAUAAAAUUCUUUGAUACCUUUUUCGAAAGAAAGUAAUGGCACAGGUAUAGGCGAAAGCAUCCCCUUAUGUGAGAACUGACGUUGAAGGACGAAGGCUUUGAGCAGCGAACAGGAUUAGAUACCCUGGUAGUCCAAGCAGACAAAUCUGAAUGCCAUAGACUAGACUUUCUCAGUUUUUUCUAUAAGUGAAAAUGCAAGCAUUCCACCUCAAGAGUAAUUUGGCAACAUUGGAACUGAAAUCAUUAGACCGUUUCUGAAACCAGUAGUGAAGUAUGUUGUUUAAUUUGAUGUUCCGCAAAAAACCUUACCACAAUUUGAAUGUUUAUAAUGUAUUUUUAUAUGAAGAUCGAUAUAAAUACAAGCGUUGCACGGCUGUUUUCAGUUAAUGUCGUGAGAUUUUGGUUAGUUCCAUUAAAUUAACGUAAACCCUUAUUUUAUUUGAAAAUAAAAUAACUCCUCCGUACAUUGGAUGUGAUAAUAG